UAUAUAUAUAUAUAUAUAUAUGAAAGACCUCCACCAGAAUACUUUCAACAAGGUUUAAAUCACAUAAACAGAAAUAGAAGUAUUGCAAAUUACGAUCAUGGUUAUAGCAAAGCAGACUGGAGAUGAAGUAUAUUUAAAAAAUAUUAAGCAACCAUGUGUCUAUCAGACAUUUUUCACAAGUGUUUCUAACAACAUGGAUGCUGACUCUUAUUCUCAGUCUGUCUAUUAGGACGGCCUCACAGCGCAGUCUUCUGUUUUUAAUGAUAAAAGAAUAUAAUUUACCACUAAAGUCAGCAGCAGGCCAAAAUAGUUACAGAUAACACCAGGAGGUAAAGAAGUUCCAAUGAUGCAAACCAAGGCUUUGUGUUAGUUUCUUAUGUGUGUGAAGUGUGUCUCACUAUGGAGAAACACAGAUGUUAUGGAUCAUCUCUUCUAAAUACAGUUUCUGAUUCAGAUCCAUGAACGCAGCUCCCAUAAUCUAACUUUGAUCUUAAUGCAGCUACAUAACACAUCUGACCCUACGAGGAUCAUUUUACACACUUUAAAAGGGUUCUCUUCAUGAAUAUAAAUAUUGUACAUUGCAUCGAUUAGCAUAUUAAUAUAUUACUUUGGUAAUGACAACAGUUUUUCAUUGCACUUUUAAUGUGUUGCUGUCCUCAACCUGCGUUCCCUCUUGGCAGGAACAGACAGCUAGCUUACACUUUCCUUUAUGAAUAAAGAUGAACUACCAGCCUUGAUUUUCAUAUGUGUAAUGUUUUCAUCCUCUGCAUUUAUUCAUGCCGGAUUGAUCAUUGUCAAACUGGAACAGACAAAACAAAGGGUACAUAAAUACCACGUAAAACAACGUGGCACCAGGAUAACAUGACACAGAGAGCUAGCAUAGUUUAGCUGCUAUUUUCCAGCGGAGAAUUCAGUGACAUAAAUUCAACAUACUUUCGAAAUUGUCUAAAUCUUUACAACAACACAAAACAUGCACUCACAGACGAAUAAUGUCCGAAGGCUCUUCCAGGAGGAAUUCAGCUGCGACCAACAACAGCGGGUUCUCUCCAUGAAGUGAACCGAGCCUCGUGUGGCCGCUCCACUAGGCGGCUGCAUUUACUCACGUGUAACUACUCAAGUCACUACAUGUAUGGUGGGCAUGUCACACCUUCUGUUUUCUAUAAUGACAUGAGGUGAUUCUUCCACUGUUUGUGUUUGUUUUUAUUGAUUUGGAGGGACAUCAUAUUCACUUUAGUGCUCUACACAUGAUGUGUUGGUCUUCAAUGGAGCAUGUCCAAGUCAUGUGCUUCAUUUGAAUGAAAGAAAAGAAAAAAAGAUAGUCUCAAGAAUAAACAAGGAAAUUGACAAUUUCUGUACAUUCUACUCCUUACAUUUUAAAAACAGCCUCGUUACUUCCGGCUUGUCGCAGCUCAAAAACAAACACAAGAAAACCCUAUCCAGAUCAAUGGCGCUAUGCGGACAGUGAAUGUGAUUGUGUUUAGAUGAGAAUAUAAACAUUUAGCAUCCAGACACCCAAUUGGUUUUCUCCGCGAUGUGCAGAUCGGAGCGACGCCGAGUGGGAAAAGUGGUGGAAAGUUGGUAUUUACCCUCACCUAGCGGGAUGGGGUGGGAGAAGAUUUGUCAUGUGUGACCCUUUUUUACAGCGUUCAGUCCCCAAACAACCAACAAUAAAAGUGAUAAGUAAAACAUAUAAAGUUGUUCUACCCACGCUUUUGUAGUAAGAGUAAUUUAAAAAUGCAUAACAACAAUGCAUCAUUAGAAAAAUCUGAAUUGGCUCUUCAGGUCCAUAUUUUUGCAUCACUAGAAAUAUUAUUGAUGUAUUUUCAACGAUGCCUCUUACCUGUCAGCAGGAAAGCAUCCUGAAGGAACUCCAGAGCUGUGAAUGGAGCUACCAGAGCUGCUGUCUCCAUUAUUGAUAACUUUCACUGGAGAUACAGUAUCAAUGGUGUCUGAAGUAUAUAGAGGGACAACACAUAACUAUUUGUUAAAGACGAUGGUUGAUGAAUACAACAAAACAGACGGGGUUGACCGGCAUUUGAAAUAUUACAAUGUUAAGUCCAUAUUGAGUCACUAUUAACUUUCCAGUUAGCCGGUGCUGCUAGCUUGUUUUGCUAUCUUUGUCUUAUUAGUCGUGUAUGAAUCCAUCAAAGUGCCUUUGUUCGGCCCCCCGAUGCUCGCACACAUUACAUUAAGCCUCAAACCAAAAAUAAACGUGCCAUAAAUCUGCAUUAAAUCCGAUGUAUUAGCAUCCACGAUCACAGUACCCAUGUGUGAUGUGCGGAUUGAUACUGAAACAUCGAUACUUCCGAUACCAGAUCUGUAUGCUCUAAAAUCAAUUUUUAAAUGAAAAUAUCGAUACUUUUGAUACUUCAUUAGUUUGUGGUAAUGUAUAUCAUUAACAGGAAUUUGGUGGAAAGUAACUAAACUAUUCAGGUCUUGUCUAAAUGACACGCCGCUGGUAGGGACUACUUUUUCACUGGGUAAGUGACUAAUACGUAAACGCAGCGGCACGGCGCUGCUGCUCGCUCUCUCAGAAAGAGAGAAUGGCGGAACGGAAGAGAAGUCAUGUGUGCAAACAGCCAGGAUGCAUUGUGUGGCAUCUGUGGGAAAACCGUGAGUUGUGGAAACACAACCAACCUAGUGAAACACUUACGAACAAACCACAACACUGAAUAUGAGACAUUUGCGCAGAGGCGGACAGAAGAGCGGCAGCAGAGUAUGUCAGGUGCUCGGGCAAGGCAGACGUCUCUGGUGGAGUCCGGUGCUGCAGGUCGACAUUACCCAGGUACAGAGAGAGAAAAUGCGGAUCUUUAAGCGCCGCUAAGCACUGUUGCUGUUUGAGUUGUAAUGAAUAUGGUUUUGAGAUAAGUAACAAAAAUCAAUACAUGCUUCAACAAAUAGCUGCCUGACUUCAGCUUGGAGUAAUACCCUAAUAUGUGUAUCACUGAGAUAAUCUCACAUAUAAAGCCUAGAUUUAUUCAGGGAAGGUUUCCUAAAAUAUUGAUCAUUUAAAGUGGAUUACAUAGACUAGGUGUCAUUAAAUAAUACAGGAUAACUGCGAUAAAACAGCCAGGGUGAAUUUAGAAAAAUAUAUAGCCUAUUGGAAAAGAUGGUUACAAAAAUAACCUUUUAUCUAUAUAUUUUUUAUUAUUUACAAAGAGUAAUUUGCUUUAACUGUUAAAUAAAUAUUUUAACAUGUUGGUAUUGACAAACUUGUGGCAUCGAUUUAAUUAAAUAUUUUACUGGCAAUUCUUGAGUCACCCAGAAUUAUAAAACAGCAGUGUUUGUAUCCCCUUAUUCUAGGCUAUUUGGAGAGACAUACAUGCAUACAUAUGCACACAUACAUAGUUGAAACAAAAUAAGAUUAAGAUUUCAGUACAGUGUAGCCCCCUUGUUAAUUUUGUGCUGUGAUUUUAAAUCGUUUAAAGAUGAUUCCCCAAGAGCAGCAAUACUCACAAGAUGCCUGGGAGAGAUGAUUGCAAAGGAUCUCCAGCCUCUGUUGUCCAAGGAUUUGUGAGAGCUCUUGACCCAAAAUAUAAACUCCCAGGAAGAAAGAAACUGACAGAGACCCAUCUUGUAGAAAUGUUUGAUGAAUGCAAAGGCAAAGUAAGGGCAUCUUUGCAAAAUGCUUCUAGUGUUGUACUUACCACUGAUAUGUGGACCUCGGUGUCCACAGAGGCAUAUUUGACCGUAACAUGUCAUCUCAUUGAAAACUGGGAAAUGAGGGAUUUUGUUUUGGAAACCCAAACUUUCAAUGGGCAGCAUACAGGUGACAAUAUCAGUUUAGCGCUUAAACGCAUCGCAGAAAAAUGGGGCAUAACUGACAAGGUUGCUGCAGUAGUGACAGACAAUGGUGCAAACAUGGUUGCUGCAGUACACAAGGCUGGAUGGAGGCACUAUCCAUGUUUUGCACAUACACUGAAUUUGAUCGUAAAGGACAGUUUAAAAACUGUCCCGGAAGUGGUGAAAGUGCUGGAAAAAUGCGCCCGUGUCCUUUUUUCACCACAGCACACAGGCCACCGAGAAGCUCGGGGCUGUUCAGCAACAGUUGAAAGUGGCAGAGCACAAGCUAAUCCAGUCAGUAGCUACUCGCUGGAAUUACGUUUUUUACAUGCUGGAGAGGCUCUUUGAGCAAAAGGAAGCUGCGACCACAGCCCUCUGCCUUUUAGGGAGGAACACAUUGUGCUUAGAUGAGGGAGAAUUAUCCCUCAUCAAGCAAACAGUUGAUGCACUACGGCCAUUUCAAGAAGUGACACGAGAGGUUUCAUCUGAAAAGUAUGUUUCAGUCUCCAAAGUGAUUCCGCUUGUGUCACUUAUUCACAGGGCUGUAGCAGCCUGUGAACGUCAAGGCAGCUCCCUUGCCACACAACUGGCACAGCAAUGUCAGCGCAGAUUCAUGGGUAUUCGAUGUUAGAUUUAAACAUGUUGGUUUUCGAGACAAAGACAAUGUGGAGGUAAUGAAAAAGCGUCUCCUUUCUGAAAUACAGGAAGUCUAUCAGACAGGACAGGCAGCUCCCAGUUUAGCCCCAAGCUCAACAGCUACUGUUAGCUCUACCUCAGGGCCUUCUUCCUCUGGGCCUUCUGCCUCAGAGCCAAACCAGAGUCCUGCCCCCUCAGGUUCAGCUGCAUUAAAAGGAGGCAUAUGGACUGAUUUUGACAUGCAGGUUUUGUCAGGACAACAUCGCCGGUCAGCUACCAGCAAUGUGCUCAUUGAAGUACGUCGGUACUCAGAAGAAAAAGUGAUUCCCAGAGACAGGGAUGCACUGGUUUGGUGGAAAGAACAUGACCAAACCUUCCCAGCCCUGAGCAAACUAGCAGUGAGAUACCUGGGAAUUACUGCCACUUCUGUACCAGCAGAGAGUCUUUUCAAAGGCAGGAGAGGUUUUUAGUGAUGGAAACACCUUUUUCAAACACUCCAGGACUCCUGGCUCUCAAAGGGGAUUUACAAGGACUGGCUGGUUAAGGAAAUCCACACAGUAAAUUUGCCAGUGUCAAAAAGGCAGUGUCAAACUAUUUUAAUUCUUCCGGAGUUCUUCCAACAAUGGACAGAGUAAAAUUGAACCAGAAAACUUCCAGUGUUGGUGAAAAUAAUCGGAGUUAACAGAGGUUUUACUCUGUCAGUGUUAUUGACUCUCUAAGGCCCUGAUUCAACACUGAUUAGAGCAAGAUACCUUCCAGAGUAUCAC
Molecule: long non-coding RNA, 5186 nt
Organism: Gasterosteus aculeatus aculeatus (three-spined stickleback)
Lineage: Eukaryota; Metazoa; Chordata; Actinopteri; Perciformes; Gasterosteidae
Source: Ensembl